Long non-coding RNA from Sciurus carolinensis (gray squirrel), 1728 nucleotides. RefSeq lists it as uncharacterized. NCBI's taxonomy places the organism in Eukaryota, Metazoa, Chordata, Mammalia, Rodentia, Sciuridae. The record is from RefSeq and is a predicted model, not a curated record. The transcript has 6 exons.
GCAGGGAGAGGUGUUUUAUAAGGCAGACUACAGAAGAAGUGACAUCGCUAACUUAGUUUGCUUUGUCCCGUUGUAUAACCAGCAUCCCAGAAUUUGGCAUGCGUGCAAGAAAGCGGCUUUCCACAGAAUUGCAGGAACUAGCCCCAGGAGGUUGCGGUCAAUUGUGAUUUGAGAGAGAGAAGAGGGACACAUGCCAGAUGAUGAAGACCACACUCAGAAACAAAUAUCAUGGACAGUGUGUCUCACUGGUAUUUAUAUUCAGUGACCCAAAUUACAGCCAAGGCAUCAUUCUUCUAUAAGAACACUGGAUUUGAGUUCCUGCAUUGCACAUACAGUUUUAUUCUUUUACACAGGACAUGCAAGCUACAGAGAAUCAUUAAUAACAAACAGGAGCUUCUGAAGAGAUUCAUUUCAAAGGUCUUUGGAAAGAUGUUUUGCUCACUGAUCUAAACUGGCAGAAAAUCACAUUCUGAGGUGUUCUUUUCAAAAAAUUUUUGCAGAGACAUGUUCAACACUAUGGGCAACAUUCUUAAAACCCCAGUGCCCAAGUAUACUGACUUGCACCUCAAUUCGCAUACAAUACUUUCUUGAGAGCUCUUAUUUUGAGGCAGAUCUGCCAGUUCUUUUAGUGGGACAAAAAAUACAUCCAGUGUUGCUUUCAGAGCCUCAAUAGCUGCGUUUAGGAGCUCUCCGUGAUUCACAUUGGGACUAAAGCCACCAACAGCUACUAAUUUCCAUGCCACUGUUUUAUACAGUCUAUUGAAGAAAGGUUGCUUCUGUUUCACAUCUUCAUUGGUUAAUUUGCAACAAGAGAACUUGACAGAACUCUCACUUGACUGUGAAGUACUCUUAGAAGGCAAUUGUGAGGUGCUACUCUGAGAACUACUCUUAGAAGCUAGCUGGGACACACUUGCUAAGGGACUGCUUUUGGAAACCAUAGAUCCACUGGUCUGGGAGCUGCUCUUGGAAGCUAACAGUGAUGCAGCUACCUGGGAAGUGCUUUUGGAAGUUAGCAGUGAUGUAUUUGUUGAGCUGCUCUUGGGAGUUAGUAAUGAUGUGCCUGAUGAGGAACUGUUUUUAGAAACUGAUGAUGAAACACUUGCCUCUGAACUAGUUUUGGAAGUUAACCCACUUGAAGCUGUCUCUGAACUAGGUUUAGAAGACAAUAAUGGCAACUCUACUUCUGAGCUUCCAGAAGAACCCAACAAGGGCACCUCAAUCUCUGAGCUGCUCUGAGAAACAGAGACUGAAGAACCUUCCAAACCACUCUUUUUAGGUGAGCCACUUUGUUGUCUGGAAUCAGUGGACUGGGUCACGUGACUAUUCACACUGGAUUUCAAAAACGAAGAAACAAAUGAUGCAGAACCAUGCUUAUCUGGAGCUUCUGAUUCAGAAGCUUUUCCAGAUCCUGCUGUUGUUACCUGAGAAGAAAUGAUGCUGCUGCUUUGGCUGGAAACAGAUCGAUCUCCCUCACUUGUAGAGCUAUUCUGACCAGAGAUGCCAGCGCUGCGAGUGGAGUUCCCACUACUCUCUGAUUUGGUGGAUGACCCCGAACAUGUAGAACUGUUUUCUGGCUGAGCUGAUGUACGUUCUGUUUUGGCAGAAAUUUUUGCAAGAUCUCGCUCAACUGCAGAGUUGUUUUUUCCUUCUAUGAUUCGUUUUUUGGAUAGCUCUUCUACCCCUUCUAAAAAAAAAAAAAAAAAAAAAAGGAAAACAGAUAUUUAACUA